Molecule: ribosomal RNA, 253 nt
Filed under: uncultured bacterium
Lineage: Bacteria
Description: partial 16S ribosomal RNA
Rfam family: Bacterial small subunit ribosomal RNA
Source: RNAcentral
UACGUAGGUGGCAAGCGUUGUCCGGAUUUAUUGGGUUUAAAGGGUGCGUAGGCGGCUUUGUAAGUCAGUGGUGAAAUACUCCAGCUUAACUGGAGGGGUGCCAUUGAUACUGCGGAGCUUGAGUACAGAUGAGGUAGGCGGAAUUGACGGUGUAGCGGUGAAAUGCAUAGAUAUCGUCAAGAACACCGAUAGCGAAGGCAGCUUACUGGGCUGUAACUGACGCUGAUGCACGAAAGCGUGGGGAGCAAACAGG